Molecule: non-coding RNA, 537 nt
Organism: Phoenix dactylifera (date palm)
Lineage: Eukaryota; Viridiplantae; Streptophyta; Magnoliopsida; Arecales; Arecaceae
Source: RefSeq, a predicted model, not a curated record
UCCAAAACUAUAGAUAUCUAUUCAUUCCAAUGAAUAUGGAAUGGCAUUGGUAUUUACUUGUUUUGGACUUGAAGCAGCAGUGUUUUCAAUGCUACAAUUCUAUGUGGAGCUUCAAUGAUGCAAACUAUAAUAUUAAAUUUGCAUCAUUUCUGCGAUUUUGGCUAAGCGACCGCGUAGGAUACCAUAUCCCGGAAAUUAUCAUUCAUGAAAUUCGAGAGUGUCCACAGCAAAUGCCGGAUACUCUCGACUGUGGGGUAUACUUGCUCAUGUAUGCGGAGGAACUGACACGGGGCACUUCGAGACCAUUGCUGGAACAGUUCAAGGAUCCCUCUUUAUAUAGAAGCUGGGUUGCAGGCAAUAUUUUGUUGAAUGACCAUUGCAGUACAAAUGAUAGUUUCUGGAAUUGGUAUGAGAAGAUAUGUAGAAAGAGAGAUUAGAGCAGGCAACCUACUCCUACAUUUUCUUUUUUUGUGUAAUGUAACAAUGAGACAGUUAUGAUGAAUACAUUUGUAUUAUUGAGAUGAUUGGCAUUAUUGU